This is a non-coding RNA of Bacteroides clarus YIT 12056, 415 nucleotides long. Lineage: Bacteria; Pseudomonadati; Bacteroidota; Bacteroidia; Bacteroidales; Bacteroidaceae. The record is from Rfam.
GCAGUUGGUCGGUUUGUCGCUUGCGCCCUGUGCGUAUGAGGAAAGUCCGGGCAACACAGAGCAUCCUACUUCCUAACAGAAAGCUGUCCGCGAGGGUAGAGUAACGUAGAAGAAAAUAACCGCCAUGCUCUUCCUGAGUAUGGUAAGGGUGAGAAGGUGGGGUAAGAGCCUACCGGCCUUGUGGUGACACAAGGGCUGUACGUCUUGGGAGUUGUAAGGUCAUGUAAACCGACGCUAUGAGAGCUGCUCGCUCCAUGUCGGAGGGUAGACCGCUAAAGCCGGUAUGGCAACAUACGGCUCAGAUAAAUGACAGACACUUCUUGAAUGAAGAAGGAAGAAUGAGGAAUGAAGAAUUCCGAAAACGACCUCUUCCGGAACAGAAGAACAGAACCCGGCUUACAGACCGACUGCUUUU